RNAcentral lists this ribosomal RNA (468 nucleotides) under uncultured bacterium. RNAcentral describes it as "partial 16S ribosomal RNA". It matches the Rfam family "Bacterial small subunit ribosomal RNA", at positions 28 to 507 of the family's 1533-position model. The record is from RNAcentral.
GACGAACGCUGGCGGCGUGCUUAACACAUGCAAGUCGAACGGCAAGGCCCUGCUUUUGUGGGGUGCUCGAGUGGCGAACGGGUGAGUAACACGUGAGUAACCUGCCCUUGACUUUGGGAUAACUUCAGGAAACUGGGGCUACUACCGUAUCGGAGCCCCUGUUCCGGUGUGGGCGUUGGAACGUCUCGGCGGUUGGGGAUGGAUUAGCGGCUUAUCAGUUUGUUGGUUGGGGAGGGGCUUACCAAGGAUUUGACGGGUAGCCGGCAUGAGAGGGUGACCGGCCACCUGAGGACUGAGAGACGGCCCAGGCGCGUACGGGAGGCAGCAGUGGGGAGUAUUGCACAGUGGGCGGGAGCCUGAUGCAGCAACGCCGCGGGCGGGAUGACGGCCUUCGGGGUGUAAACCGCUUUCGCCUGUGACGAAGCGGGAGUGACGGUAAUGGGUAAAGAAGCACCGGCUAACUACGUG